AACGAACGCUGGCGGCGUGCCUAACACAUGCAAGUCGAACGAGAUCUUCGGGUCUAGUGGCGCACGGGUGCGUAACGCGUGGGAAUCUGCCCUUUGGUUCGGAAUAACAGUUGGAAACGACUGCUAAUACCGGAUGAUGACGAAAGUCCAAAGAUUUAUCGCCGGAGGAUGAGCCCGCGUAGGAUUAGCUAGUUGGUGUGGUAAAGGCGAACCAAGGCGACGAUCCUUAGCUGGUCUGAGAGGAUGAUCAGCCACACUGGGACUGAGACACGGCCCAGACUCAGACGGGAGGCAGCAGUGGGGAAUAUUGGACAAUGGGCGAAAGCCUGGUACAGCAAUGCCGCGUGAGUGAUGAAGGCCUUAGGGUUGUAAAGCUCUUUUACCCGGGAUGAUAAUGACAGUACCGGGAGAAUAAGCUCCGGCUAACUCCGUGCCAGCCGCCGCCGUAA
RNAcentral lists this ribosomal RNA (449 nucleotides) under uncultured bacterium. RNAcentral describes it as "partial 16S ribosomal RNA". It matches the Rfam family "Bacterial small subunit ribosomal RNA", at positions 29 to 523 of the family's 1533-position model. The record is from RNAcentral.